AUCGAAUUUCGAAUGGCAUUAGAAUUUUUUAGUAUAAAAAAUUCUAAAUUUAUACAAAAUAUAUGUAUAUAUUUGAAGAGCUACAAUUUUUUAAAAGACUGGAUCGAAAUACCGCUUCAACCGCAGAUGACAACUACAAAAUUUGAAAGAAUAGAAUGAUUGGGAGGGAAUUAAGUGGCAUGUGUAACACGAGCCAUGAAAUUACAAAAUUUGUUUGAUUUGCCUCUCAUAUCGUCAAGAUAUCUAUGAAAUUACUAUUCUUUUCCAAGUACCCUAGAAGCCAAUUUCAGAAUGUGAUACUUUUUCACGAAAUAACACAGCUCGUAAAUUAGAGCUCCGAUAAUAACCUCGUUCGAUCGCACUAAAUUCAAAGUUCUAUAGAGAGAACCGCCGUCUCCGACGCGAUAUUUAUACUCACGCUCCCGCCGCUCGACCGCCAGGUACCGCCGCAAACGCUACAUCCCGCAAUUUUUAAAUCUGUAUUUAAUUGGAUAAGGAUCACUGCUGUAUUGAUUAAAGUCGCUUCGAAGAUUUGUUAUUAUUUGUUAUAAAAAGUAAAUGAUAAAAAAAUGUUAUUGUGGGAUAUCCAUAAGAGAUAGACAUAUAUCGCGGAGUUUACAUUACAUUAUUUCGAUAAAUCUCGUAGGGUU
Molecule: non-coding RNA, 650 nt
Organism: Bactrocera oleae (olive fruit fly)
Lineage: Eukaryota; Metazoa; Arthropoda; Insecta; Diptera; Tephritidae
Source: RefSeq, a predicted model, not a curated record